Long non-coding RNA from Pseudopipra pipra, 1100 nucleotides. RefSeq lists it as uncharacterized. The transcript is spliced from 3 exons. The record is from RefSeq and is a predicted model, not a curated record. Lineage: Eukaryota; Metazoa; Chordata; Aves; Passeriformes; Pipridae.
UUUCCCCUGCUCUGCCAGGGAGCAGGAGCACGAGAAGCUGGGAGGGAGCAGGGCCAGGACAGCUGAGCUGAACUGGCCACAGGGAUAUUCCAGAGCUCAGCAGGUCACACUCAGCACAUGAGCCGGGGGAGGUGCCCGUGCGGCAGGACUCUGCCUGGGCACUGACUGAGCAGUGCUCAGGGGGUGGGGAGCAAUUGUAUUGUGCAUCACUUAUUCUGUACAUUCUUUUAUCAUCAUCAUUAUUUUCUCUUCAUUUCCUGGCUUAUUAAUUUGUCUCUAUCAACCCACAAGGUUUACUUUUUUCACCAAUUCUCUUCCCUCUCUCACUGCAGGGCAGGGGGUGGAGUGAACAAGCAACUGUUUGGUGCCUGUUCUGGGGUUAAACCACGACUCUCUUCCACUCCAAAUGCUGACUUACAGAAUAAAAUCCUCCCCCAGACUCCAAGUCACCCUUCAGAGCAUAUGUUCCAGAGGAUUCAAGGAUAUGGGCUAUUUAUCUGUAGAAGGAGCUAAAGCUUUAAUCAAAGGACCAGUUUUCGGAAGAUUUGCAGUAAGAGCAAGAACACUGGGCACACUCCCUUGGAUGGCUCCACACCUGUACAUCUCUACAAAACACCAACCGUGGCUUGAAGCUUCUGCAGCAGAUAUUCUGGACAUCUAAUUCCAGGUAAAAGAAGUGGGCAUCCUUCCAACCCAGCACAGCAAUCUGCUAUGGUGGAGCUGCUGUGCAAAACAAUUCCAAGAAUUGUAAAAGUUAUUUCAUCUGCAAACAAUAAUUUUUAAGAUGGUUUUAAAGCAUGUGUUACACACAAUCAUCCAGCUUUCAACAUCACAAUACAAAGAGUGCAAAAUCAUUUCAAAAGAUGGAACAUUUUAAAAAAAAUCCAACUAAAAGCUAAUGGCCAAGAAUGUUAUUCUACCCAGGUCCUCUCCCAAUGUUCCCUGUUCCAACCUCCUGCUCCAUUUCAGUCAUCAUGGCUUCAAAGCACAAAAGUAGUUCAAGAAAAAGGUAGCUGGAAUUUCUUACACAAAGGCCAAACAUUGUAAUUGCCUAGAUUUAUACAUGAACAGGACAAUAAAAUUAAAACAAACCCAAGAAA